GUAGCUCAGUGGUAGAGCACUUACCUAGCAUGUGUGAGGCCCUAGGUUUGAUUCCCAGC
RNAcentral lists this transfer RNA (59 nucleotides) under Cavia porcellus (domestic guinea pig). It matches the Rfam family "tRNA", at positions 7 to 64 of the family's 71-position model. From Rfam's summary of the family: Transfer RNA (tRNA) molecules are approximately 80 nucleotides in length. Their secondary structure includes four short double-helical elements and three loops (D, anti-codon, and T loops). Further hydrogen bonds mediate the characteristic L-shaped molecular structure. tRNAs have two regions of fundamental functional importance: the anti-codon, which is responsible for specific mRNA codon recognition, and the 3' end, to which the tRNAs corresponding amino acid is attached (by aminoacyl-tRNA synthetases). tRNAs cope with the degeneracy of the genetic code in two manners: having more than one tRNA (with a specific anti-codon) for a particular amino acid; and 'wobble' base-pairing, i.e. permitting non-standard base-pairing at the 3rd anti-codon position. Lineage: Eukaryota; Metazoa; Chordata; Mammalia; Rodentia; Caviidae. The record is from Rfam by way of RNAcentral.